Molecule: ribosomal RNA, 492 nt
Filed under: uncultured bacterium
Lineage: Bacteria
Description: partial 16S ribosomal RNA
Rfam family: Bacterial small subunit ribosomal RNA
Source: RNAcentral
GUUGAACGCUAGCUACAGGCUUAACACAUGCAAGUCGAGGGGAAACGGCAUUAAGUGCUUGCACUUUUUGGACGUCGACCGGCGCACGGGUGAGUAACGCGUAUCCAACCUUCCCAUGACUAAGGGAUAACCUGCCGAAAGGCAGACUAAUACCUUAUGGUCUUCACUGACGGCAUCAGAUGUGAAGUAAAGAUUUAUCGGUUAUGGAUGGGGAUGCGUCUGAUUAGCUUGUUGGCGGGGUAACGGCCCACCAAGGCAACGAUCAGUAGGGGUUCUGAGAGGAAGGUCCCCCACAUUGGAACUGAGACACGGUCCAAACUCCUACGGGAGGCAGCAGUGAGGAAUAUUGGUCAAUGGGCGAGAGCCUGAACCAGCCAAGUAGCGUGCAGGAUGACGGCCCUAUGGGUUGUAAACUGCUUUUGUAUGGGGAUAAAGUCAAUCACGUGUGAUUGUUUGCAGGUACCAUACGAAUAAGGACCGGCUAAUUCCGUG